Long non-coding RNA from Leopardus geoffroyi (Geoffroy's cat), 6394 nucleotides. RefSeq lists it as uncharacterized. NCBI's taxonomy places the organism in Eukaryota, Metazoa, Chordata, Mammalia, Carnivora, Felidae. The transcript has 2 exons. The record is from RefSeq and is a predicted model, not a curated record.
GGUUUCACGGCACGUGAGAGAAGCAGAGGGGACGGAUCCAAGAAUGACGCCCAGGUUGUAACUUGAGUAACUGAGUUGAUGAUAAACAGCGGUUAAGGCGAAGGCUCCACAGCUAGAUUCCUAGCUCUGCCAUUUCAAAGGUGGAAAUCUUGGAUGACUACUUCUCUGUAGCUCGGUUUCCUCAUGCAUAAAAGGAAGAUGAUAAUGAAACCUCCUCUAAGAAUGGGAUGAUUUAGUUCAUGUGAAGCACUUAGGAUAAUCCUGGCACAUAAGUACACAAUCUCACCAAUAUUACCAUUAUCAUCAUUAUAGUGCCAGCAAUUGGUGUGGGGAUAUGGGAGGAACAGCAGUGUAGGGGGAAAUGACAAGUUCAAUUUUCAACACUGAAGUGCCUACAGCACCUCCAAAUGGCAGAGGUCACAUGUAUGGCUCUGCACUAAGAAAGGGAUUUACGAACAAAAGAUUUGGACUCAAGCCAAGAGCAUAUGGAAUGAUCAUUCAAGCCACCAGCCUGAGUGACAUGGAGUGGGAGAACAAAGGAACCCAGGAAGCCUUAUAAGGAACACAGACACUGAAGGGAUACCCAGGUAGGAAGAGUCUACAAAUGAGUCUUGAGAAGUGGCCAGAGAUGUAGGAGAAAAAAGGAGAAGCCCCAGGGAGAAAGUAUUUCAAGAAGAAUCUACAGUGCCAGUUGUUGCUAGGAGAGGAAGUAAGAUAUGGAUGGAAAGAUAUUCAAUGGAUUUAGUAAUAAAAUCUUUGCCCUAAUGGUCUAGGUGACAUGGCCACUGCUGUCCGUUUCGGAAGCUAAGAAGUAAAAUGUAUUAGAACAGCUAUUAAUAACAGGUCCACUGUGCUAACUAAGUCCUAUUAGAGUGGAAAAAGAUAGUUCAGAUGACUGCCAGCAGUGGACAUAGGGAUGGACCCUUAGAAGAUCACUAAAGGACAGUAUCUGGGGAUUAAAGCAAGGAACAAAGCGCUACAGGUUUUAGCCUGAACAGACUUAACUAGACGCAUGAUGCACAAAACAUAAGGCACAGUCCAGAAUAGUCAAUUAAUUCAAAUAGGUUGGCUCACGUGGUAUGAAGAGGGGCUUCUGAGUGGUAAAAUUCAAAAAGUAGAUUAGAACCAUAUUAUAGAAAGGCCUGACCAUGGAAUAUGGAAGUGAUGCAAACGUUUAAAUGCCUUUCCUCCCUGGAAAAUGCCUAAUUAUUCUUUAAUUCUCAGCUCAUAUGCCACCUCUUCAGUGUCACUUUAGGUAAAGAUCAACUAACCUUCAUGUCCUCAAAAUACUUUCUAUUCACAUCUUAACGGCACUGCGUUACGAUUAUGUUUUCUAAACCGUAUGAUACUCACAGGAAUGGACUAUGUCUUGGUACCUGCGUCUUGCGUCUUGCAGGCUAAACAACACCUGUGCCCAAGAAACAUUUUCUGAAUAAAUAUAUACACAAUGACAUUAGAGUGGCACCUUAUGAAGACUGAGAGCUAAGUAAUAUGGAUUGGCAAAGAAGAAACCAGAGGUAGACCAGUCAGAAAGCCAGGAAGUAAAAAGGAGAAGUAAUGGGGUCCUAUCCAUUCAGGCCACUGUGGAAACAGAAGAAGGUGGGAUGUCUCUCUAAAAGGCAGUAUCAGUAGAAUUUGGUGGCCGAUUGAAAUAGGACAGAGAACAGGAGUAAAUUUUUUUAGAAAACCUUAAGAAAAUGGGGGCCCCUGAGUGGCUCAAUCGGUUAGGCGUCCGACUUUGGCUCAGGUCAUGAUCUCAUAGUUUGUGAGUUCAGGCCCUGCAUCAGACCCUGUGCUGACAGCUCAGAGCCUGAAGCCUGCUUGGGAUUCUGUGUCUCCCUCUCUUUCAGCCCCUCCCCCACUCACGCUCUGUCUCUCUCUCCCUCAAAACUAAAUAAACAUAAAAAAAAAAAAGUCAGGGGCGCCUGGGUGGCGCAGUCGGUUAAGCGUCCGACUUCAGCCAGGUCACGAUCUCGCGGUCCGUGAGUUCGAGCCCCGCGUCAGGCUCUGGGCUGAUGGCUCGGAGCCUGGAGCCUGUUUCCGAUUCUGUGUUUCCCUCUCUCUCUGCCCCUCCCCCGUUCAUGCUCUGUCUCUCUCUGUCCCAAAAAUAAAUAAACGUUGAAAAAAAAAAAAAUUAAAAAAAAAAAAAAGUCAUUUAAAAACCUUAAAAAAAUGUAUACCCUUUGACUCAGUAAUUAGCCUUGGAAAUAUAUCCCAAGGGAAUAAUUAGAGAUUUAUGCAUACUUUGGUAUUAUUUAUAAGGGUGGUAAACUGGAAACAAUUUUAACUUUGAACAAUGGAGGACUAGUUAAAUAGCGGUCCUUCUAAUAUGUGCACACGUUAACAUAUACUUACGCCAAUUAUGCAAGGAUAAUGAUAAAACAUGCACAUUAUAAUAAGUCUUAAAAAUAUUUCUAAAACAAAAUAUAUGAUCUGACUUUAAUUUUGUUUGCUAUGUAUGAAUACAGGUGGAAAAACACAGGAAGAGUUUCUGUCAAAAAGUAUACAAGGCACACACCAGGUAUUUCUGAGAUGUGACUGAGCAGACCAUAGGUACCUUUUCCUUCUUUAUAAUGAACUUUCCAAUAUUUUUAUAAUAAAUAUAUUGUUUUUAUAAUUUAAAAAAUCCCGUUUUUACAGGAAGUGAGUUAGUAUUGAGAAAAAUCAAGUCACCAGUUUAUUGUUUUUGAGGCUCAGCGGCAAAAGAAAAUUACGGGACCACAAUUUGAAAGAACAGUAGGAGUGUCACUUUCUUUGUUUUGCCUUACAGAUUAGAGAUAUGAAGGAGGAGCAGAUAAAUAUAGGAACCAGAAUAAUGACAUGCUUUACAAAAAGAAAACUCUUGAUGUAUUUUUCCAUUUAAACAAAAUGCAGAGUAUAGCUAAGGGUACCAGGGAGAAGGUCUUGGAAAGAGAGAAGAAAAAGAAAAAAAUCCUACAAAGGUUACAUCUUUGUAGCACUUGGCACAGAAAAAUUGUUAACUUACUACAUACUGGGAAGAACAUGGGCUUUGGCAUCAAAUGGAGCAGAAGUGAACUCAUGUACCACCCAGCAGCCAUGUGACCCUGGGCAAGUCGCUAGAGUGAGUCUGUCUCCUCGGGGGUGGCAUGGGGCAAAGCACUGCCUAGCACAGCCAUGGGAAUGAAAUGAUCUGUAUGACAGUGACUAGUCGGGUAGACAUGAGCUCAGGACCCCACCACUGGACUUUGAUUCAUUUAGCAGGUCUGAGCCCACACCUGAUCAUCUGUGUUUUACAUAGCUCCCUGGGCAUUAGUACUGCUUGGGCAGGGUAGAGAAACAUGUGAACCGCUCAGUGCCUGGCACAUGGUAGGUACUUGUUAGAUGGCUGUUUUUAUGUAGAGAAUGAGGGCUCUGUCACUUUUCAUUAACACAAUGCCAAGACCUGUCCUAAAUGAGCAGCUCAGAUUUUCUGCUAUGAAACAGAACUAAAAUGAACAAAGAUAACAGAAAUGUCAUUAAAGACCUAAAGGCAUGCCAUGGCAUUCAGAGAUUCAACCUGACAGACUCCAAAGGUCUUUGACAUGUAAUCACAUAUAAUUUUGCUGAGGAGAAUUUAAAUCAUUUCUGCUUCAUGACAUGUAGGACCAAGUCCUUUAGUUGAUCCAUGUGCUUUCUUACUGAUCAGAACCCAGGUUCAUUUAGGUUUGCUGUAUUCUAUUCAUCACCAUAAACAGAUGAAAGCAUUGUUCUUUGUAAAAGGGUCUCAAAAGAGAGUCAAAUGCUAUGCUACAGAGAAAUUUGCAAAUUUGGGGAAAUGGAAAAGGUUUCAGAAAAUAUUCUAGCAAAUGUCAAAGAUCUACUGUAUAAUUACAUUUUUUAAACAUAAGGGAAAGGUCUUAUCCUUUUUCAUAGUUUCCAGCAAUAAAAAGUCACAUGAAAAGGUCAGAGUGCAUGGCAUUUAAUGCACCCAAUAUUUCAACAGUUUUUCUCUCUGUCUUUCUUCCUAGUAUCCUAGAUUAUGCUAGCUGUUAGGAAGAGUCACCGAAAUGCAAUCCCGAGGGAGGCUCAUCACUCAUCAACUAGGAUAAACAUAAUGUGAGCCACAGAGAGCGAUGGCUCCUGCUGGCCAUCUUUGGUCCCCCACCAUCUACAUCCACUAUAGGCAAGAAACAGAAUGGAUUAUUAGCUGUGCAUGAAGCAAAAAGUCCAAGAAAUUAAAACACUCUGAAAACACUGAAGAUUGAGCUAUCUAUGAUUAGUCUACUGCCUAAGUGCCAACUUUCGUGGAGCAAAUGAGAACUAUCAUAGACCAAAAUGAGAGAGCCAAACACAGGACUACCAGAUACUACAUAUGUAAUCUGGGGGUUCAAGUAAGCAAUUCUCUGUCCCUGAAUACAGACCAAAGAGUUUUUUAAUCAGAUGUGCUGAUCUAAAUUACCUGGUGGGAAUUUUAUUUUUUCCUUAGUGACUAACCCUAUAUCCCCUAGAUUAGUAGAAAUACACCAUCUUUCAUAUUUAGAAUGUAAACAUAUGAGCUAAACAUGGAUUAUCUUGGAAUUUAAAAACUCAAAACUUGGGGUGCCUGGGUGGCUCAGUGGGUUAAGCGCCUGACUUCAGCUCAGGUCAUGAUCUCAUGGUGAGUUCGAGCCCCGCAUCAGGUUCCAUGCUGACAGCUCAGUGCCUGGAGCCUGCUUCAGAUUCUGUGUGUGUGUGUGUGUGUGUGUGUGUGUGUGUGUGUGUGUGUGUCUGCCCCUCCCCUGCUCACACUCUGCCUCUCUCUCUCAAAAAUAAAUAAACAUUAAAAAAAUUAUUUUUAAAAAACCCAAAACUUAAAUAUAUCUAUAUGAUGUUUUAUAGUCUUAACACAUGAGCUGAUUUGCUUGAAUGACUUCAGCUAGAAAUGGACAUCUAAAAACAUGACUAUUUGGGGGCAGGAGUUUAAGUUUUUCAACAAUGGCUCCAAACAACCUUCUUAACUACUGUCUAUUAUUCUACAGUACAAGUCUUCAGCUCGAUCACAUUCAUUGUGCCUAGUUUACUGCACAGCCUCAUACUGGCCCAAACUCUAUGCCCUUUCUUGUACUCUUCCUAUCUUGCCCUCAGCCAUCCUUGAAAGUCCAAGGAAGAAAUUAAGCUUCUUAAAGAAGUGAAGUGUUUCAGGGCGCCUGGGUGGCUCAGUCAGUUAAGCGUCUGACUUUGGCUCAGGUCAUGAUCUCGCGAUCUGUGGGUUUGAGCCCCGCGUCGGGCUCUGUGCUGACAGCUCAGAGACUGGAGCCUGUUUCAGAUUCUGUGUCUCCCUCUUUCUCUGACCCUCCCCUGUUCAUGCUCUCUCUCUCUCUCUCUCUCUCUGUCUCAAAAUAAAUAAAUGUUACAAGUGAAGUGUUUCAAUACUAUAUGCUCUCUCUUUACUGAACACUCCUAUAAUUACUCAAAAUGUUUAUAUACUAUAUACCAUAAAAUUUAACAUGUAAUGUGAUAUUUUUUAAGAUUUUUCUAGGUGUAUUCUUAUCUACCCAAGAAGACUGUAAACUUCUAGGCAAGGUCAUAUUUUAUUUUUAAUGUCUACCAGUUUAUUAAAGGAUAUGAUAAAGCAUACAUAUGAACAGUCAGAUGAAAUAGGGUCUGGGAGGGUCCCAAGCAGAGCAGCUCUGUCCCUGUGGAGUUAGGUCAGUUAUCUUCCUGGUAUGUAGAUGUGUUCACUAAGCAAGGUCGUAUUUUAAACAAGACACACCCUCAAACAAAUAUGAAGUGUUUUAUCCUCACCCCCAACCACUUUAACCUAACUGCAAGUGUUUCAAAUGUACACAUUUGUGCCGCCUAAUGGUGAAAAGUAAUUAUUGCAGGGUUAUAACUUAGUAAUUGGCUUCUAAAACAUUUAACAAAAUCAAAUAAUGGUAGGACUAAAUCUUUAUUUAAAAUCAAAGAAGAGUAAAGCUAUUGUUAAAAAUGAUGAAGCACCAGGGGCGCCUGGGUGGCUUAGUCGGUCGGUCAUCCGACUUCAGCUCAAUCUUUAUUUAAAAUCAAAGAAGAGUAAAGCUACUGUUCAAAAUGAUGAAGCACCAGGGGCGCCUGGGUGGCUUAGUCGGUCGGUCAUCCGACUUCAGCUCAGGUCAUGAUCUUGCAGUUUGUGGAUUCCAGCCCCAUGUCGGGCUCUGUGCUGACAGCGCAGAGCCUGGAGGCUUGCUUCAGAUUCUGUGUCUCUCUCUCUCUCUCUGCCUCUCCCUUGCUCAUGCACGUGCUCGCUCGCUCUCUCUCAAAAAUAAUAAAUAAACAUUAAAGAAAAUUUUUUAAAAAAUGAUACAGCACCAGAGAUGAUGAUAAUAUAACUAACUUUUGGUAUGAAUGAGUUACAAGUUUAAAAUUGUCUGAUAAAUUUAUUAGCACUGUCAAUUAAAAAAAAAAAAAAAACUUUCUCAUAUGAAAAGUCUUUUUU